Molecule: unclassified non-coding RNA, 392 nt
Filed under: uncultured fungus
Lineage: Eukaryota; Fungi
Description: sequence contains ITS1
Rfam family: 5.8S ribosomal RNA (bases 1-104)
Source: RNAcentral
GAAAUGCGAUACGUAGUGUGAAUUGCAGAAUUCCGUGAAUCAUUGAGUUUUUGUACGCAAGUUGCGCCCGAGGCUUGUCGGAGGGCAUUUCCGCUAGAGCGUCACCGCGCCCCCCCACCACACUCCCCAAGUUGGGAGUUUGAGUGGAACUGGCAAUCCCGGAUUCGGGUCGGCUGAAAUAGAGGGAAUUUGGCCGCCGUGGCAUCACUUACCCCGCGAUCAGGUGUGAUUUCGAAAGUUAUCUUCCAAGUGCGGGGCUCCCAGUGAGCCCGAGUACGUACGAGUUCCACAGCAGGCUACCUUUACCACUUAGGCCAGCAAUGGCCCGAGACACGAAGGGAAGAGGUAACGCAUCAGACCUCUAAUCGGAAAACACUACCCGCCAAGUUUAA